UUCCGGUUGAUCCUGCCGGAGGUCACUGCUAUCGGGGUUCGAUUAAGCCAUGCGAGUCGAGAGGGUUCGGCCCUCGGCGUACUGCUCAGUAACACGUGGAUAACCUGCCCUAGGGGAGGGGAUAACCCCGGGAAACUGGGGAUAAUACCCUAUAGGUUACAGAUGCUGGAAUGCCCUGUAACCAAAAGCUCCGGCGCCCUAGGAUGGAUCUGCGGCCGAUUAGGUUGUUGUUGGGGUAACGGCCCAACAAGCCCGUAAUCGGUACGGGUUGUGGGAGCAAGAGCCCGGAGUUGGAUUCUGAGACACGAAUCCAGGCCCUACGGGGCGCAGCAGGCGCGAAACCUUUACAAUGCGGGCAACCGUGAUAAGGGAACCUCGAGUGCCUGUAAACGCAGGCUGUUCAGGUGUUUAAAACGCACCUGGAGAAAGGGCCGGGCAAGACCGGUGCCAGCCGCCGCGGUAAUACCGGCGGCUCGAGUGGUGGCCGCUUUUAUUGGGAUUAAAGCGUUCGUAGCUGGGUUGUUAAGUCUCUUGGGAAAUCUGGCGGCUUAACCGUCAGGCGUCUAAGGGAUACUGGCAAUCUUGGAACCGGGAGAGGUGAGGGGUACUUCGGGGGUAGGGGUGAAAUCCUGUAAUCCUCGAGGGACCACCUGUGGCGAAGGCGCCUCACCAGAACGGCUUCGACAGUGAGGGACGAAAGCUGGGGGAGCAAACCGGAUUAGAUACCCGGGUAGUCCCAGCCGUAAACGAUGCGCGUUAGGUGUAUCGGUGACCACGAGUUACCGAGGUGCCGAAGGGAAACCGUGAAACGCGCCGCCUGGGAAGUACGGUCGCAAGGCUGAAACUUAAAGGAAUUGGCGGUGGAGCACCACAACGGGUGGAGCCUGCGGUUUAAUUGGAUUCAACGCCGGGAAUCACUAGUGCGGCCGCCUGCAGGUCGACCAUAUGGG
RNAcentral lists this ribosomal RNA (950 nucleotides) under uncultured archaeon. Its description in RNAcentral is "bacterial SSU rRNA". It matches the Rfam family "Archaeal small subunit ribosomal RNA", at positions 1 to 966 of the family's 1478-position model. The record is from RNAcentral.